ACCUGGGUGGCUCAGUCGGUUGAGCAUCUGACUUCAGCUCAGGUCAUGAUCUCCUGGUUCGUGGGUUCCAGCCCUGCGUCAGGCU
Molecule: non-coding RNA, 85 nt
Organism: Felis catus (domestic cat)
Lineage: Eukaryota; Metazoa; Chordata; Mammalia; Carnivora; Felidae
Source: Rfam